CUUCCCUUGGUUGCCAAGCUCUGCGCAGCGGACUCCCCCUGUCAAUAUGCAAGAGCAGCUCCCUCCCGCAGGCUGAGCAGAAAGGGGGAAAGGUCGACUCUCACAACUCCGGCUCAACCGUCACCUAGCGGGACGUGGGGAAACGCCGACCAGACCCCGACUAAACCGAGAUCGGGCUCAGCCCCUCACGUGUCAGGUGGGAAACUGAGCCCGGGGAGAGAAAGCCUGCGGGGCCAGGCCGGGACUCGCAGAGACUUCGUCCGCAUGCGGCCAGGCCCCGCCUCCGCGCGCGCAGUCCCGGGGCGCGCUCAACGGCCUAGGGCCCGGGCCACGAGCCGCGCAGACCCCUGCCUGCGCCCCGAGGGAGGCCGGGACCCCUAGCCGGCGGGACUGCGCGCCGUGCCCUCCGCGCUGGUCCCUGCGAGAGCCUCGCUUCCCCUCCCCCCUUCCCGCCUCCCCAGCUAGUGUCCCCGCCUUCCCCGCGGGCGACGGGCGGCGGCGGCGGCGGCGGGGCAGCGGGAGGAGCGGGCCGAGCAGUGGCAGCCGCGUCCUUGCACACUGGGAUGUAGCGAACCAGAAGGGGCCGAAGCUGCGCGCAGAGCCGGAGACGCAGCUGGAUCCGGGGCCCUAGCCAGAGUCCAAACCUAAGCCAGAGUCCGUGGCGAGCGAGCCCGGAGCCGAGGAGCCGCACGCGCCGCGCAGUCCGGGUCAGCUGUGCCGCAGGAAAGCAACAGACGUCGGCCGGAGCCCCGGCUGUCUUCGCCGCGCACCCCGACGUCCCGCCGCAGUGCUUGGAGGCGCCCCCAGCCCAAAGCGGCCUGCCGGAGCCGCCACCGGUCAGGCUUUUCCUUACCCUGAGAGAAACCCCAAAUGCUCUUCGCAAAAUCCAAUAAAGACAUUCCCGCAGCUUC
This is a long non-coding RNA of Orcinus orca (killer whale), 911 nucleotides long. RefSeq lists it as uncharacterized. The transcript has 2 exons. NCBI's taxonomy places the organism in Eukaryota, Metazoa, Chordata, Mammalia, Artiodactyla, Delphinidae. The record is from RefSeq and is a predicted model, not a curated record.